RNAcentral lists this long non-coding RNA (507 nucleotides) under Chloebia gouldiae (Gouldian finch). Its description in RNAcentral is "Erythrura gouldiae (Gouldian finch) lncRNA (ENSEGOG00005018670.1)". Lineage: Eukaryota; Metazoa; Chordata; Aves; Passeriformes; Passeridae. The record is from RNAcentral.
CCGGCCGGGGUUCUUCAUGCUGGACGGCUCCUGCACCAGGUGAGACACCUGGGGGGACAGGUGUGGGGACAGGUGUGACACCUGCCGGCCGGGGUUCUUCAUGCUGGACGGCUCCUGCACCAGGUGAGACACCUGGGACACACCUGGGGGGCACCUGGGACAGGUGUGGGGACAGGUGAGACAGCCGGGGGGACAGGUGAGACACCUGGGACAGGUGUGGGGACAGGUGAGACACCUGUGGGGACAGGUGAGACACCUGGGGGGACAGGUGAGACAGCCGGGGGGACAGGUGAGACACCUGGGACAGGUGUGGGGACAGGUGUGACACCUGCCGGCCGGGGUUCUUCAUGCUGGACGGCUCCUGCACCAGGUGAGACACCUGGGGGGACAGGUGAGACACCUGGGACACACCUGGGGGGCACCUGGGACAGGUGUGGGGACAGGUGAGACAGCCGGGGGGACAGGUGAGACACCUGGGACAGGUGUGGGGACAGGUGAGACACCUGU